This 440-nucleotide ribosomal RNA is filed under the name uncultured bacterium. Its description in RNAcentral is "bacterial SSU rRNA". It matches the Rfam family "Bacterial small subunit ribosomal RNA", at positions 480 to 919 of the family's 1533-position model. The record is from RNAcentral.
UCGAGAGGAAGCACUGGCUAACUCUGUGCCAGCAGCCGCGGUAAUACAGAGAGUGCAAACGUUGUUCGGAAUCACUGGGCUUAAAGAGCACGUAGGCGGCGCUACAAGUGUCGGGUGAAAUCCCACGGCUCACCCGUGGAACUGCCCGGCAGACUGUGGUGCUCGAGUGUGGUAGGGGAGAGCGGAACUCCAGGUGGAGCGGUGAAAUGCGUAGAUAUCUGGAGGAACACCGGUGGCGAAGGCGGCUCUCUGGUCCACAACUGACGCUGAGGUGCGAAAGCUAGGGGAGCAAACGGGAUUAGAUACCCCGGUAGUCCUAGCUGUAAACGAUGGACACUAGCUUGGGGUCUCCCUGUGUGAUCCCAGGUGAAGCAAAAGUGAUAAGUGUCCCGCCUGGGGAGUAUGGUCGCAAGGCUGAAACUCAAAGGAAUUGACGGGGG